RNAcentral lists this ribosomal RNA (253 nucleotides) under uncultured bacterium. Its description in RNAcentral is "partial 16S ribosomal RNA". It matches the Rfam family "Bacterial small subunit ribosomal RNA", at positions 524 to 776 of the family's 1533-position model. The record is from RNAcentral.
UACGUAGGGUGCAAGCGUUGUCCGGAAUUUUUGGGCGUAAAGAGCUCGUAGGCGGUUUGUUGCGUCGGCUGUGAAAUCCCGAGGCUCAACCUCGGGUCUGCAGUCGAUACGAGCAAACUAGAGUGUUGCAGGGGAGACUGGAAUUCCUGGUGUAGCGGUGAAAUGCGCAGAUAUCAGGAGGAACACCGGUGGCGAAGGCGGGUCUCUGGGCAACAACUGACGCUGAGGAGCGAAAGCGUGGGGAGCGAACAGG